Molecule: ribosomal RNA, 253 nt
Filed under: uncultured bacterium
Lineage: Bacteria
Description: partial 16S ribosomal RNA
Rfam family: Bacterial small subunit ribosomal RNA
Source: RNAcentral
UACGUAGGGUGCGAGCGUUGUCCGGAAUUAUUGGGCGUAAAGAGCUUGUAGGCGGUUUGUCGCGUCUGCCGUGAAAAUCCGGGGCUCAACCCCGGACUUGCGGUGGGUACGGGCAGACUAGAGUGUGGUAGGGGAGACUGGAAUUCCUGGUGUAGCGGUGAAAUGCGCAGAUAUCAGGAGGAACACCGGUGGCGAAGGCGGUUCUCUGGGCCUUACCUGACGCUGAGGAGCGAAAGCGUGGGGAGCAAACAGG